RNAcentral lists this unclassified non-coding RNA (219 nucleotides) under Hevea brasiliensis (rubber tree). The record is from RNAcentral. Lineage: Eukaryota; Viridiplantae; Streptophyta; Magnoliopsida; Malpighiales; Euphorbiaceae.
GGGCCUCGUGUGGCCGUGGUCGAUCAUCGCCCCCGCCAAUCCGUUCCGCGCGCUGACGUACUUCUCGCAUUUCUUCGAGAAGCCCUGGAAGGAACUGUUCAACGGCGCGAGGACAUGCCGUGGUCGUAUCUGCCGACGCUGUUCGCACUCCAGCUUCCCGAAGUGUUGCUCGGCCUGCUCGGCGCCGCCGUCGCCGGCACAUUCGUUGCGCUGAUGCGC